UACGUAGGGGGCGAGCGUUGUCCGGAGUUACUGGGCGUAAAGCGCACGUAGGCGGCUCUUUAAGUCAGAGGUGAAAUCCUGGGGCUCAACCCCAGAACUGCCUUUGAUACUGAGGAGCUUGAGUCCGGGAGAGGUGAGUGGAACUGCGAGUGUAGAGGUGAAAUUCGUAGAUAUUCGCAAGAACACCAGUGGCGAAGGCGGCUCACUGGCCCGGUACUGACGCUGAGGUGCGAAAGCGUGGGGAGCAAACAGG
Molecule: ribosomal RNA, 253 nt
Filed under: uncultured bacterium
Lineage: Bacteria
Description: partial 16S ribosomal RNA
Rfam family: Bacterial small subunit ribosomal RNA
Source: RNAcentral